GGACGCAACCCCCAAUAACCAGCUUAAUAGACAUUAACCUAUCAUUCACUCGCCUAACCUCGACCACGGACUCCCUUAGGUCCCUAUCUACCAAGAUGCUCACUCCAUUCUUACCUCUCACGACCCCAGAAUACCACAGCUUAAACCCGUCUACAUUCCUUGCCUUCGACCCUUUCCACCUAGUCUCCUGGACACAUGCUAUGUUAACCCUCGUCUUCUGAAGAACCUUCGCCAACUCAAUGGACUUACCCGUCAUAGUGC
This 261-nucleotide long non-coding RNA is filed under the name Nicotiana benthamiana. RNAcentral's name for it is "long non-coding RNA (NBEN_LNC009420)". Lineage: Eukaryota; Viridiplantae; Streptophyta; Magnoliopsida; Solanales; Solanaceae. The record is from RNAcentral.